UCCGUAGGUGAACCUGCGGAAGGAUCAUUAAAGAAAUUUAAUAAUUUUGAGAAUGGAUUUUUUUGUUUUGGCAAGAGCAUGAGAGCUUUUACUGGGCAAGAAGACAAGAGAUGGAGAGUCCAGCCGGGCCUGCGCUUAAGUGCGCGGUCUUGCUAGGCUUGUAAGUUUCUUUCUUGCUAUUCCAAACGGUGAGAGAUUUCUGUGCUUUUGUUAUAGGACAAUUAAAACCGUUUCAAUACAACACACUGUGGAGUUUUCAUAUCUUUGCAACUUUUUCUUUGGGCAUUCGAGCAAUCGGGGCCCAGAGGUAACAAACACAAACAAUUUUAUUUAUUCAUUAAAUUUUUGUCAAAAACAAGAAUUUUCGUAACUGGAAAUUUUAAAAUAUUAAAAACUUUCAACAACGGAUCUCUUGGUUCUCGCAUCGAUGAAGAACGCAGCGAAAUGCGAUACGUAAUGUGAAUUGCAGAAUUCCGUGAAUCAUCGAAUCUUUGAACGCACAUUGCGCCCCUUGGUAUUCCAGGGGGCAUGCCUGUUUGAGCGUCAUUUCCUUCUCAAACAUUCUGUUUGGUAGUGAGUGAUACUCUUUGGAGUUAACUUGAAAUUGCUGGCCUUUUCAUUGGAUGUUUUUUUUCCAAAGAGAGGUUUCUCUGCGUGCUUGAGGUAUAAUGCAAGUACGGUCGUUUUAGGUUUUACCA
This 698-nucleotide ribosomal RNA is filed under the name Saccharomyces cerevisiae (brewer's yeast). RNAcentral describes it as "eukaryotic LSU rRNA". The stretch from base 393 to 546 matches the Rfam family "5.8S ribosomal RNA". The record is from RNAcentral. Lineage: Eukaryota; Fungi; Ascomycota; Saccharomycetes; Saccharomycetales; Saccharomycetaceae.